Molecule: microRNA precursor, 79 nt
Filed under: Pteropus vampyrus (large flying fox)
Lineage: Eukaryota; Metazoa; Chordata; Mammalia; Chiroptera; Pteropodidae
Description: miRNA (ENSPVAG00000026674.1)
Source: RNAcentral
GGGAUUGCUGGUUGCCGGGUGUGAGUGUGUGUGUGUGCGUGUGCGUGUGUGUGUGCACGCGCGCGUGCACGCGCACAUG